AGUGAACGCUGGCGGUAGGCCUAACACAUGCAAGUCGAACGGCAGCACAGUAAGAGCUUGCUCUUACGGGUGGCGAGUGGCGGACGGGUGAGGAAUACAUCGGAAUCUACUUUUUCGUGGGGGAUAACGUAGGGAAACUUACGCUAAUACCGCAUACGACCUACGGGUGAAAGCAGGGGAUCUUCGGACCUUGCGCGAUUGAAUGCGCCGAUGUCGGAUUAGCUAGUUGGCGGGGUAAAGGCCCACCAAGGCGACGAUCCGUAGCUGGUCUGAGAGGAUGAUCAGCCACACUGGAACUGAGACACGGUCCAUACUCCUACGGGAGGCAGCAGUGGGGAAUAUUGGACAAUGGGCGCAGGCCUGAUCCAGCCAUACCGCGUGGGUGAAGAAGGCCUUCGGGUUGUAAAGCCCUUUUGUUGGGAAAGAAAAGCAGCAGGUUAAUACCCCGCUGUUCUGACGGUACCCAAAGAAUAAGCACCGGCUAACUUCGUG
Molecule: ribosomal RNA, 492 nt
Filed under: uncultured bacterium
Lineage: Bacteria
Description: partial 16S ribosomal RNA
Rfam family: Bacterial small subunit ribosomal RNA
Source: RNAcentral